UACGGAGGGUGCAAGCGUUAUCCGGAUUCACUGGGUUUAAAGGGUGCGUAGGUGGGCAGGUAAGUCAGUGGUGAAAUCCUGUAGCUUAACUACAGAACUGCCAUUGAUACUAUCUGUCUUGAAUACCCUGGAGGUGAGCGGAAUAUGUCAUGUAGCGGUGAAAUGCUUAGAUAUGACAUAGAACACCCAUUGCGAAGGCAGCUCACUACGGGAAUAUUGACACUGAGGCACGAAAGCGUGGGGAUCAAAC
RNAcentral lists this ribosomal RNA (250 nucleotides) under uncultured bacterium. Its description in RNAcentral is "partial 16S ribosomal RNA". It matches the Rfam family "Bacterial small subunit ribosomal RNA", at positions 524 to 773 of the family's 1533-position model. The record is from RNAcentral.